This 253-nucleotide ribosomal RNA is filed under the name uncultured bacterium. Its description in RNAcentral is "partial 16S ribosomal RNA". It matches the Rfam family "Bacterial small subunit ribosomal RNA", at positions 524 to 776 of the family's 1533-position model. The record is from RNAcentral.
GACAGAGGGUGCAAACGUUGUUCGGAAUUACUGGGCGUAAAGCGCACGUAGGCGGCGCCGUAAGUCAGGGGCGAAAUCCCGGAGCUCAACUCCGGAACUGCCCUUGAAACUGCAGUGCUAGAAUCCUGGAGAGGCGAGUGGAAUUCCGAGUGUAGAGGUGAAAUUCGUAGAUAUUCGGAAGAACACCAGUGGCGAAGGCGACUCGCUGGACAGGUAUUGACGCUGAGGUGCGAAAGCGUGGGGAGCAAACAGG